This 22-nucleotide transfer RNA is filed under the name Viscum liquidambaricola. Its description in RNAcentral is "partial tRNA-Leu". Lineage: Eukaryota; Viridiplantae; Streptophyta; Magnoliopsida; Santalales; Viscaceae. The record is from RNAcentral.
AAAAUCCGUUGACUUUAUAAAU